RNAcentral lists this unclassified non-coding RNA (518 nucleotides) under Hevea brasiliensis (rubber tree). Lineage: Eukaryota; Viridiplantae; Streptophyta; Magnoliopsida; Malpighiales; Euphorbiaceae. The record is from RNAcentral.
CCGGGGCGUCGCACAGACGAUCAGGCCGGUUAGCAAGAAGAUGGCGUUCCUCGUGGUGCGGCAAUUCACGAGCACCGUCCAGUGCGUCCUCACUGUCAGCGAAGAGUAUGUGAGUACUCAGAUGGUGAAGUUCGCCACGGGGCUGAGCAAGGAGUCGAUUGUCGAUAUCGAAGGGAUCAUUUCCAUCCCCAAGGACCCUAUCAAAGGCACUACACAACAGGUAGAAGUUCAAGUAAGGAAACUUCAUUGCAUCAAUAGAGCAGCGCCAAAUCUGCCUAUUAAUAUUGAGGAUGCAGCCAGAAGUGAGACAGAAUUUGAGAAAGCUGAGCGUACUGGCGAACAAUUUGUCCGUGUUGGCCAAGACACUCGACUGAACUUUAGAUUUCUGGAUUUGAGAACUCCAGCAAAUCAUGCAAUAUUCCGUGUGCAACACCAUGUUGAAGAUGCUUUUAGGCAAUUUUUGAAGCGCGAGGACUUCUUUGGGAUCCAUAGUCCUAAGCUGAUAGCUGGAUCAAGUG